UUAGUUGUGGUGUUUAGGGUAUUUGACUGUGUUUAGAGUUAUCUCACGUAGGGUUGUGAGAGACUUUGUAUACAGCUUUUGAGGGAAAUAUUAUAGACCCAUUUUCAUCCUUAAGGCUGAGAUAUUUAUAGAGGCUCAUUAGACUUGGGCUAGAGAACCCAAAAGCACCUUCUGUCUCUUCCAUGACCAGAUAACAUGACUAAGAGGAAACUUAUUCUCCCUGAAA
Molecule: long non-coding RNA, 226 nt
Filed under: Lathyrus oleraceus (garden pea)
Lineage: Eukaryota; Viridiplantae; Streptophyta; Magnoliopsida; Fabales; Fabaceae
Description: Pisum sativum (pea) long non-coding RNA (PSAT_LNC000258)
Source: RNAcentral